GGUGUGGUGCAGAAAAUGCUAGUCCAGCUGGCCCGGGUGCAGGCAUAAAAAGUAGGUAAGUUGAGGCAGGAGAGUCACAAGUUCAAGGGCCAGAGUAAAUGGAAGGCUGAGAGUGUGUAGCUGACAGAAAUGAACGCCCUGAACUUCAUCUCCAGCAUCCAAACUCAUUAUUUAAGGAUAUGUGUAGGGUUUUGUAACCUGAGUUUUGGAUGCUGUCAGAGGACAACUCUGACCCUGGCCAGCACCUCCCAUCCUCCCCCAAUUAAUCAUGACCUUCCUCCCUUCUCUGCUGUCACCUGCUCCAACCACAGCCAGGUCUUCUUGGAGACAUUACAGGUUCUAGCCUGAGCAUACUGCCCUGUCCCAGAUGUCACUAAGGAUGACUGCCACCUGGAGGGGCACUCCCCGGGCAGGUGUGAGACAGGUCAAAGCUUCUAAAAUGUGUCUGGUUCAUCCAUGCGCUAAGGGUAACUUCAGGGGGCGCGCGAAUAAGACGCCUCAUCGCUGAGUCUUCUGCCUCAGUUUACUUGCGCAGCCUACGUGGCUGAUUACAUUGUGCAGUGAUGACACUAAGCUGGGGACAGCUCAGCGUGUAGUCCCGCCCAAGACCUCGGUCCCGCCCACUCUCGCAAGACUACAAACAAGUUCCCGCGAUAGUCUGAGAGCCCCACCCCGUCGGCUUUUCCUGGCCUGUGUUCUCAGGGUCCUUCUCAGACCCCCCCUCAGGGGCGUGUCCUCGCGCGGCUCCCGCGAUCCCGGCAGGCUCCGCCUCGAUCACGUGCGGCCCGCGGCGCGCCCGCCCUCGCACGGCUCCUCGCGGCCACCGUAGAAGGAGUGCGGCGGCCGCAGGGACGGAAGCCGGGAGGCGCCGCCGACCGCGCCUGCGACAGCGUCAGCUCUGCGCGGAACGCCGGCCCAUGGCGGCGGCGGCGGCGAUGGCAGAGCAGGAGGGCGCCCGCAACGGCGCCCGCAACCGCGGCGGCGUCCAGCGCGUGGAGGGCAAGCUGCGUGCUAGCGUCGAGAAGGGCGACUACUACGAGGCGCACCAGAUGUACCGGACCCUCUUCUUCAGAUACAUGUCUCAGAGCAAACAUGCAGAGGCCCGGGAGCUUAUGUACUCAGGAGCAUUGCUCUUCUUCAGUCAUGGCCAGCAGAACAGUGCAGCUGACCUGUCCAUGCUGGUCCUCGAAUCCCUGGAAAAGGCCGAGGUGGACGUAGCUGAUGAGCUUUUGGAAAAUCUGGCUAAAGUGUUCAGUUUGAUGGAUCCAAAUUCUCCUGAACGAGUAGCUUUUGUGUCCAGAGCCCUGAAGUGGUCCAGUGGAGGGUCUGGGAAACUGGGCCAUCCUCGACUCCACCAGCUGCUGGCCCUCACAUUAUGGAAAGAUUCUUUCCCUUCACAGAGCAAAAUUACUGUGAGUCUCGGUAUCACUUUCUGCACUCCAGUGAUGGCGAGGGCUGCGCCAACAUGCUGGUCGAGUACUCUACUGCCCGAGGCUUCCGAAGUGAGGUGGACAUGUUCGUGGCUCAGGCUGUGCUACAGUUUCUCUGUUUGAAAAAUAAGAACAGUGCACUGGUGGUCUUUACAACGUACACACAGAAGCAUCCAUCCAUCGAGGAUGGGCCGCCCUUUGUUCAGCCCCUGCUCAAUUUCAUCUGGUUUCUGCUGCUGGCCGUGGACGGGUGAGUCCAUCUGUGUGGGUGCUGGGUAUGUGUCUGUGAGGCCAUGGCUCUCACUGGGAGUUAUCCCCGGUUCUUGUUGCAGUGGCAAGCUGGCUGUCUUCACGGUGCUGUGCGAGCAGUACCAGCCGUCCCUGCGGAGGGACCCCAUGUACAACGAGUACCUCGACAGGAUCGGACAACUCUUCUUCGGUGUGCCGCCAAAGCAGACAUCCUCCUAUGGAGGCUUGCUAGGGAACCUGCUGAGCAGCCUCAUGGGCUCCUCAGAGCAGGAAGAGGGGGAAGAGAGCCAGGAUGACAGCAGCCCCAUCGAGCUGGACUGAAGCUGCCUGGCCAGCGUGGAGAUGUCCAUGGCCGGCACCGCUGGGACGGAUUCAGUGCCAGGCUGGGCGCAAGGCCCCUUACCAGUGGGCUGCUGCUCUGUGGCUGAGGGGCCAUCUAUGCAGAGUCUGUCCCUAUUUAUGUAUGGUGGUUGAGGGCUGUGUGGCCAGGACCAAGAGCAAGGCCCAGCUUCUGCUGGCCAAUCGUGUUCCUUCAGAUCACCCACAAUAAAGCGCAGCCCUUGCUGCAGCACCCGCUGCCAUCCUUGUCUCUGCUUCCUUGGGGAGGGCUGCAGGGUGGCACAGCAGCCUGGCGUCAGUGACUGGUACCCCUUCUCCUGUGUCCAGUGCAGCCAUGGCAUGCCAGAGAAGUGGCAGCUGCCGCUGUGAGCCACGCAGGAUCCCGUGUCCUGCAGACGAGAGCGGCUUUCUUGUUUGUGGGAUUUUGUUUGGACACAGAGUUGUUUUGCAAUCAUGGUGUGCUUCCCAGGGACAGAGCGUGUGCUGUGGCGGCUAGGCUCCUUGGAGGUCACAAGCAGCUGGCCAGGGUAAUGUCCCUUGGUCCAUGGGGCUGUGGCCCGUGCUGUAGUCUAUGGGCUCCUCCGUUCAAGCUGCAGCCCUGCUGGUCCCUUCAGCUCCACGCUGCUGCUCUGGCGAGGUUUUAAAGGGUGCCAUGGGCUCUCACGUCCUUCGUGUUGCAGUAUUUAUUUUUACUGGGUGAGGAUUUUUCAACUUAACGUUUUAGGACUUAACCAAAUAACCAGUCCAUGAAUAAGCAACCCCAUUACCACAGACAGUACCCACGCUACCAGUCUGAUUAUAAAGGGAGACACUUUAUUUUUUCACAAUUAAAUAAGAAUUGUAGAUUAAUACACCUCUAUCUUGCAUGGGAAGGAGGGAAAUAUGCGUUAUUUACUGUAAAAAAAUGGAAUUUAAAGGAAGGCUUGUGUCACCUUUUGACUAUAAAUAAAUCCUUUCUACUGGA
Molecule: RNA transcript, 2982 nt
Organism: Mus musculus (house mouse)
Lineage: Eukaryota; Metazoa; Chordata; Mammalia; Rodentia; Muridae
Gene: Get4
Gene name: golgi to ER traffic protein 4
Exons: 8
Source: RefSeq, marked validated